This 1984-nucleotide ribosomal RNA is filed under the name activated sludge metagenome. Its description in RNAcentral is "bacterial LSU rRNA". It matches the Rfam family "Bacterial large subunit ribosomal RNA", at positions 886 to 2092 of the family's 2925-position model. The record is from RNAcentral.
ACAAAUAUACCCGAGGGGUAGAGCUACUGGAUAAGUUGUCGACGUAAGGUAGGCUCUUCAACCAAACUCCAAAUACUCGUGGUACGUACCCGGGCAGUCAGUAUUACGGGGCUAAGCUCGUAGUACAAAAGGGAAACAGCCCAGACCGUCAGCUAAGGUCCCGAAAUCUUUGCUCAGUGGGAAAGGCAGUGAAGGCUCUUAGACACUUAGGAGGUUGGCUUAGAAGCAGCCAUCCUUUAAAGAGUGCGUAAUAGCUCACUAAUCUAGAGCCUUUGCGCCGAUAAUGUAACGGGGCUCAAGCAAAGUACCGAAGCUACGGAUUGCAUCGUAAGAUGCAGUGGUAGGAGAGCGUCCCAUACGCGCUGAAGCGGGAGGGUAACCGACCGUGAAGUGUAUGGAAGUGAGAAUGUUGGAAUGAGUAACCGCAAGGCAGGUGAGAUCCCUGCCCGCCGAAAAUCCAAGGUUUCCUGGGCUAUGGUGAUCAUCCCAGGGUGAGUCGGUCCUAAGGCGAGGCUGAAAGGCGUAGUCGAUGGACAAGAGGUUAAUAUUCCUCUACUGCGUAUAUAUUCGAUGGAGUGACGCAUCUCUGUACUUCUUGCCCCUUAUUGGAUUGGGGUUUAGGUCUUGAGGAUGUCAUAUAGGCAAAUCCGUAUGACAAUAAUCCGAAAGAUCCGACGAUUCCGGUAGCGAUACCGGGAAAGAAGAGGGAGCGGGGUGCCAGGAAAAGCUUCUCAGGUUCGUAUAUACGUAACCGUACCGCAAACCGACACAGGUGGAUUGGUCGAGAAGACUAAGGCGAACGGGAGAGUAUUCGUUAAGGAACUAGGCAAAAAAGCUAGGCGUAAGUUUGCAAUAUGCCUUGCCGGUUCUCUUCGGAGAGUCGGCCGCAGCGAAAGUUUUCCAAGCGACUGUUUACCAAAAACACAGCUCUCUGCAAACCCGUAAGGGGAAGUACAGGGGGUGACACCUGACCAGUGCUAGCUCGUUAACGGGAGCGGUUCACGCCAAUCCCCGAAGCGCUAGUGAACGUCGGCGAUAACUAUAAUCGUCCUAAGGUUCCGGAAAUUUCCUCGGAAGUUUUCGGAAGGACUGGGACGGUUAUAGGAAUGUGUGAAGAAAUGUGGAAGAAAAGGAAAAGUAAUUGCUUCUUUCGGAGAAAUCCGGAAGGUCCAAAAAUACUUAGCCAUAUGCUGGAACAUCUGGAGUAUCUGAUGAUACUAUGGUAAAAUUAUUCCAUAGAAAUAUGGAAGAGUGAUGCCGAGUGAAAAAUCAAUCAGUGUGUCUCGCUUCAAUCGUGAGACGCCAGACAAUCAGCAGGAAAGACUGAAGACCGUUGGCUGGGUCAUCGGGUAUGUGGAUGGGGAAGGAUGUUUUUCAGUGAGUCUGCUCAGGAAUGCCACCACGAAAAGUGGUUGGCAGACAUUUCCGGAGUUUGUGGUGACACAAAGCGGAAAGAGUAAGGCUUCAUUGGAAAUAUUGCGAGAUUUCUUCGGAUGCGGGAAGAUAUUUGUGAAUCGACGGUAUGAUAACCACCGAGAGCACAUCUAUCGAUACUGUGUCCGAUCACAAGAGGAACUUCGCGAAAAGAUCAUUCCUUUCUUUAUGGAAAAUCCGCUCCGAACCGCCAAACGAAAAGAUUUCGAGCAUUUUUCUUUUAUCCUCAAUCAGAUUAGACUCAAACGACAUCUGACGGAGCCUGGUAUGCAUAUGAUUGCCAGAAUGAUCGAGAAAAUGAAUCACAAGAAAGCUUCCCGGUUUUUAGAAUCCUCAGAGACCAAAUGCUAAGCGCGUAAUCGAUACGUGAAAAGAGAGUCCGUGCUCAUCGGCGACGAUGAGAAUAACACUACAGAGCGAAAUUCCUUGACAGGUAAGUUCUGUCCCGCAUGAAAGGUGUAACGAUUUGGAAACUGUCUCAACGAACAUCCCGGUGAAAUUGCAAUGACGGUAAAGAUGCCGUCGACCUGCAGCAAGACGAAAAGACCCC